AUCUGGCUUGACUCUUCUGUUCACAGGUGGUCUGUCUGAGGACCUCUGGUGCCACUGACUGCCAGCCAGGGGUCUUCAGACUACAAUCCUGGUUCUGUGACAUACCGCAGAGAUGUUUCACUGGUUAGCAGUUAUGGGUCGGGCCACUGAGGGAGCAUUGUUAGACCUAGCAUAUCAGCAAGAAAACCCUGGCCUGCCACCAUGGAAGGAAGGUCUUCUGGGGAGGCAGGGGUCAGCCACGGGGAGAAGCUCUGAUGAGAGGACUUCAGGCGGGCAAGUCCAUGUACAGUAGUCCAUCAUGGUGGGGACGUCAAGGCAGCUGGAGUCGGAAGCAGUUGUCACAUCACAUCCACCAACAGGAAAAAGAGAAGUGCUCCACGCUGCUGCUCAGCGGUCCUUCUCCACGUCCACAGCCAACGGUCCCAGCCAGGGAAUCCCACCCACACGGACUCACCAUCCCACCUCAGCUAAUACAGUCAAGAUGGUCCCCAAAGGCGUGCCAGGGGCCGGUCUGCUUCUUAGUUUUCACUGCAUAUUAAGGUUUCUGAUGGUUUAAAAUUCUGAUUGUGAAAGUGAAAGUACCAGAGUAAUAGGGAUAAGAGGAAUAAUCACAAGUUGUGCCCCUCAUCAACUGGGGAAAUAUUUGAAGCGUCCCCAGUGCAUGGCUCCAACCAACCAAUGACAGUAGCAAUCUCGGUGUGUACCAUUUUCCUUAUGCAUACAAAUGGGUGGUGAUGCUUGUUUACAAUUUAGGCCCAGUAAGAGAUUAACAGCUACAAAUAGCAGAGUGGAACAGCUGUACCGACACACUGUAUUUAAAGUUUCAUGGGUAGCGCCUCUCUCUCAACUCCUCAUGCUGACAGUAGAUUUGACAGCUAAGGAGGUCACCAUGUGACUAGCAGGUAUAUAAGCAUGGACACACUGCACAGGGAAAGAUUUCCAUCCUGGGCAGACAUAAUGCGGCAACAUCAGACUUCUUCCUGUUAUUCAAAAUGCUGUGCAAUUCAAAACUGUAAUUGCUUAUAAUAUAUUUUCAUUAUAUAUAUG
This 1047-nucleotide long non-coding RNA is filed under the name Mus caroli (Ryukyu mouse). Its description in RNAcentral is "predicted gene 29481 (MGP_CAROLIEiJ_G0002373.1)". Lineage: Eukaryota; Metazoa; Chordata; Mammalia; Rodentia; Muridae. The record is from RNAcentral.